AAUAAAAAAUUUUCUGUCUCUUAAAAUAAAAGCUCUAUGUUCUCUAUAAAAAAGCUUUCUCCGCCGCUGCCUAAGAUUACUUGUUUCAGUGGCUUUUUUCAGCAUCGGAAGCGAGGUUUCUUUACUUUCUUUCUUUAGUUUUGAUUUCUUUUUGUUUUGGUAUGAUCUGAAUCAUAUUUUCUUCCAAUGGUUUAAGAUCUAAAUUCUCAUAUCUAGAUCAAUAAAGUCUAAAUCCUUUCAUCUACGGGAUUUGCUGCUUGUUUUUUACUCCUUCAUCUACAGCUUUAGUUCUGGUCGUUCCAACCAUGCCAGAGGUAGAUCUAUUCGAUUCUUCAACGCCUUAGAUGCAUACUUCUCACCAUUGAAGAUCUCGAUCUCCUUCCUUUCUUUAUGAGAUUUUUUUCCUUUGGGUCUUCGGGUGUUGGUUUGUCUCACCGCCGUUUACGGUAAGAAGAAUAUUGAUUUUAUUUUCUUUGAAUGGAUCUCUAAUCUCAGAUCUAUAUUUUGUUUUAAUUUGGAUUUAGAAUUUGUAUUAGAUUUUUGAGUUCUUAAGUGAUAAGUUUGGGAAGUUUUGGAUCAGUUUUAAUAUGUUUUUUUUAUUCUGGAAUUUUUCCUUUUUGUAUAUGUAUUUGUCUCUAGAAAAUCCGUUUUCUCGCCGGCUUAACUUCUGAACUGGUUAUUUUUCUUACCCGGCAUAUGUAUUUUACCCCUUAUGAUAUUUUUUAUAAAUGAAAUCUUAAUUUUUACUGAAAAAA
Molecule: non-coding RNA, 755 nt
Organism: Arabidopsis thaliana (thale cress)
Lineage: Eukaryota; Viridiplantae; Streptophyta; Magnoliopsida; Brassicales; Brassicaceae
Source: RefSeq